CAGAAAUUCUGCGUGGGAAGGAUGAGAAGCUUCGAUUAAGGUUCGGGUCUCGCUUUAGCGAGACAACGUUGCCUCUGGCAACGGCCCGCAGGGUGAGGAGCGCAGCGACGAAUAAUCCUUCCCCCACCACCA
This 132-nucleotide small RNA is filed under the name Franconibacter helveticus. RNAcentral describes it as "RtT sRNA". It matches the Rfam family "RtT RNA". From Rfam's summary of the family: This family represents a bacterial cis-regulatory element known as RtT RNA. The exact function of RtT is unknown although it is thought that it may be involved in changing the cellular response in relation to amino acid starvation. The record is from RNAcentral. Lineage: Bacteria; Pseudomonadati; Pseudomonadota; Gammaproteobacteria; Enterobacterales; Enterobacteriaceae.